AUUAAGUGAUGUUUUCCACUGUUCACGUUCAACGUUUGACUGUUCGUCUUAUUUGAAAAAAAUUUUAUGAUUAGUAUUUUUAUUGUUAUUUUCAUAGUACUUUAUGUGUGACUAAAACGGGCGGUCAAACGCUGGACACAGAUACCCACGGCUGCAUUUAUC
This 162-nucleotide microRNA precursor is filed under the name Oryza sativa Indica Group (long-grained rice). Its description in RNAcentral is "MIR812 microRNA precursor family". It matches the Rfam family "MIR812 microRNA precursor family". The record is from Rfam by way of RNAcentral. Lineage: Eukaryota; Viridiplantae; Streptophyta; Magnoliopsida; Poales; Poaceae.